This 1738-nucleotide long non-coding RNA is filed under the name Medicago truncatula (barrel medic). RNAcentral describes it as "long non-coding RNA (MTRU_LNC008273)". The record is from RNAcentral. Lineage: Eukaryota; Viridiplantae; Streptophyta; Magnoliopsida; Fabales; Fabaceae.
UGAUAUUCGGUGUUAGUUCUUGUUGAAAUGUGUGUAUUUAAUUAGUAGAGUUUUUUUUUGUUUGUCGAGGAAUUUAAUUAGAAUUAAAGAUGAGAAACAUGUAAAUGUUACCUAUCGCCGAGGGAAUUCAUGAAAGUAAUACUUACAAGAGAUAAUAUUUGGGUGAUAUUGUGGUGUUAAUGCGAGUUGCAUUGAUCAAACACAGUGUGUAAGGUGUCACCAUUUAUUUAAAAAUAUUACAAAAGAAAUAAAAAGUAUAUAUGAAAGUUAGAGAUAAAAACCACUUAUUAUAUUGUGGUUGACCAAUGAUGUCUUGACCAAUGUUACUCAAAUGUUGUUUGUUCAACAUAUUUUCUCGUUGAGAAAUGAUAUUUGAACAACCACUUUUAGACAACUUUUGUGACAACUCUCUCUCUCAUACACUCAUUAUACUUUUAUUUUCUCUCUUCCUUUCUCUCUCUAUUAUUAUUGUCCAAUAAAAAGGAAGAAAAAAGAUUAUCCCUAAAAAUUAUUUAAAAUUGGUUGUUAAAAUAUCAUUCCUCUUUCUCGUUAUGGCUACUUAUAGUUGUUGUAUAAGUAAUGUUUAUCCCGGUUGAAUUACCACAUGCCACUUUCUUGCUACUUCUCUUAGCCAUAAAAUUCAACUUCUAUGGAAUUCUAAACAAAAUUAUAGCCCUAUAUUAAAUACAUUAUUUUGUGACAACAAUUAGAAUAAUAAUAUUUGUACAACUCUCAUAAUUAAAAAGAUAUUUAUAUAAUUAUUUUAUGACAAUUUUUGGGACAAUCAUAUUGUUCUUCUCACUUUUUUUAGAACAAAAACAAUAGACAAUGAGUGAAAAAGAGAGUAAAGACACAAUAAAAUAUGAGAGAGUUGUUCCAAAAAUUUACUCAAAAUGAUAGUACAAAUGUCAUUUGAACAUGCUUUUGUUUGUACGAAACUAAGAUAAGAUGAGAUGUUUUAUCUCUUAAUAUAACUAGAAUUUAUUUAACUGCAUCGACACCGUUAAAAUAUUCGAUAACAUAUCUAUUGUCUAAAGAAAACUUGACCUAAUUAUCUCACCUAUCAGGAAACUUGGCAAUGUGAAGGAUCAAAAUCGUCUAUUUGGAAGGUACCACCAUGUAUACCAAAUGACCUUGUCCUUGAGCUACUUUUUUUUUGAAAACAAAAAAAAAAUAUUCAUUCAUUCAAAUUGAUAGAGUAUAUCGAGACAAUAAAAAAAGAUGAAUAUACGAACCAACUCAUAACAUUCAUGUUAAUAGCAUAAAACGGAGUACAUAUGUAUACAAACAUGAAUAUAUUUAAGCCACCGAUAUACUCAUAUUUUCGGAUUCGUAAUGUUGUGACACAAAAGUCAUUGAUUGAAUUUGUAAUUGAUAAAACUAACCUUUCAACCUGAAUCAAAUAAACACCGCACGAAGACCGAAAAUAAAAAAUACACCACACAAAGACGGGAGAUAAAAAUAAUCAACGUCGUGCUAGACAACGAAAUCACAAAAUCAACGAAAGAAAACUGAAAUUAUGUAAAAAAUCACUUAUUUAGCUAAAAGAGAAAGAAAAACAAUUCGGAAGGGUGAUUUCGGGUCAAAAUUGACGAUGAAUCACCUCUCUUUAAUGGAAAGAAAGAAAGAAAAAAAAAGUUGUGACGAUUAUAUAUUUUGAAAGGAAAAAGUUUGAGAGGAGAGAAAAGUUAUGUUUAUGUCAUGGUUAUAUGUUGUUAACACGUAAAUUUUAAUAACU